ACGGAGGGAGCUAGCGUUGUUCGGAAUUACUGGGCGUAAAGCGCACGUAGGCGGCUUUGUAAGUCAGAGGUGAAAGCCUGGAGCUCAACUCCAGAACUGCCUUUGAGACUGCAUCGCUUGAAUCCAGGAGAGGUGAGUGGAAUUCCGAGUGGGGGGGUCAAAGGCGUGGUUUUGCGGAGGAAGAGCAGUGGCGAGGGCAGCACACUGGACUGGUAUCCACGCUGACCUGAGAAUGUGUGUAACACAAGGAG
Molecule: ribosomal RNA, 251 nt
Filed under: uncultured prokaryote
Description: partial 16S rRNA
Rfam family: Bacterial small subunit ribosomal RNA
Source: RNAcentral